UCUAAAGGGAACUGCCGGUGUCAAACCGGAGGAAGGUGGGGAUGACGUCAAGUCCUCAUGGCCUUUAUGGCCAGGGCUACACACGUACUACAAUGGCCGGUACAAAGGGCAGCGACAUUGCGAGAUGGAGCGAAUCCCGAAAAGCCGGUCUCAGUCCGGAUUGGAGUCUGCAACUCGACUCCAUGAAGUUGGAAUCGCUAGUAAUCGUGGAUCAGCAUGCCACGGUCGAAUACGUUCCCGGGCCUU
RNAcentral lists this ribosomal RNA (246 nucleotides) under uncultured Desulfobulbus sp. RNAcentral's name for it is "partial 16S ribosomal RNA". It matches the Rfam family "Bacterial small subunit ribosomal RNA", at positions 1138 to 1382 of the family's 1533-position model. The record is from RNAcentral. Lineage: Bacteria; Pseudomonadati; Thermodesulfobacteriota; Desulfobulbia; Desulfobulbales; Desulfobulbaceae.